Molecule: ribosomal RNA, 253 nt
Filed under: uncultured bacterium
Lineage: Bacteria
Description: partial 16S ribosomal RNA
Rfam family: Bacterial small subunit ribosomal RNA
Source: RNAcentral
UACAGAGGUCCCAAGCGUUGUUCGGAUUCACUGGGCGUAAAGGGUGCGCAGGUGGCAUGGUAAGUUUGGUGUGAAAGCUUCGGGCUUAACCCGGAAAUGGCAUUGAAAACUACUGUGCUGGAGGAUCGGAGGGGGGACUGGAAUUCUUGGUGUAGCAGUGAAAUGCGUAGAUAUCAAGAGGAACACCAGUGGCGAAGGCGAGUCCCUGGACGAUACCUGACACUGAGGCACGAAAGCCAAGGGAGCAAACAGG